Molecule: long non-coding RNA, 1461 nt
Organism: Solanum pennellii
Lineage: Eukaryota; Viridiplantae; Streptophyta; Magnoliopsida; Solanales; Solanaceae
Exons: 2
Source: RefSeq, a predicted model, not a curated record
ACACCACUGCUAAAUUUGAUUUCAUUCAGCCUGGGAAGAACUUCAAAAGUUGCCUCUGUUGAAGACCACCAAAAACGAAGCAAGUCAGAUAUCAGGGCAGCAGCCAAAGCAAAAAGACCGGAUAGCAUGAAAAAUCAAUGUCUGCAGGGACUUUAAGCACCAAACAACUAAAGCAAUUGAAAAAAGCUGAUAAAGAAAGAUAACACACUCAAGUAAUUAAAAAGCUGAUAAACACAAAAUAACAGUUGAAGGAAUAAGGGGCCAAAAAUGCAAUAAAGAGAAAUAUAUCAAGUAAAAAACAUGUCUUCUUUUUUUUUCGGAAGUAUGAAACCGUGUCAAUUAGGUUGCAGAAUCAGAUUCAGUCACUGAUUUCAUCGUGUACUAAUAUCUAAUUCUCUUUUCCUGAUCAGUAACAAUUCCCCUGUAAUAUUUCUAUCAAUUAUAAAUCAGUUCUCCAUCUAUGUUCAUUGUUUAGUUCCUCCUCUUCACCGCAUAAUCUGAUGAUUGUUGAGUCAGACGCCUUAAGACUUAAGAGGCUUUACAAUUAUCGGUUUCCACAUGUUCUGACAACUAAAGGUACAAAGGAAGUAUGAGACCAGCAAUACAAAUGUCAAAGGACAAUCACAUGGGCCAAGGAUCAAUGUAUUAUAUAUGAUAAGAGUUGGCACAGUCACUUCACCAAUCUGCUCUUCAAUUUUAGUCACUGGGAUCCACCCGUACAGACCUUUUCGAUUUAAUAAAAUAGUCACUUGGAUCCACCCGUGACCUUUUCUUUUUUUAAUGUAUUUAAGAAAUUACAUCACAUAUAUUCGAUAUUUACAAUUCUAAAGCAACACUUCAAGAGCACUAUCCACCAAUGAUUCUAGCACUUAUACUAAUCCACCAAGACCAUACUGUAUAUAUGAGCAUCUUAAGAGUUCAAAUAUAGGUUUACACUUCUCUUCCUUUUUUGGGUUCUUUUUGGUGCUCAAGAGACAUUGACUCUAAAGUUCCAGGUUAGGAAUUUAUUGAAAUUCUAAUUUGGAUAUGCACGGUUACUUUUUUGACUAGCAACAUUCAGGUUUAGCAAGGGACAUGCAUUUUUUAAUGCUAUAUUUACACAGUUCCAUUUAAUGCAGUUUCGAAGUGUCAGUUCCUCCAAGAAUUCUACCCUCUUCUUCAAAGGGGUAAAUUGAAGCUUUGUUGCAUAACAGUUCCUUUUGAUCCAAGAAAGACCACAUCAACUAUCACUACGGCCCCACGGAGGUGAAACUAGACAAUAUAUAGUGUAAUUAUGCAUAUGAGUGUCUGAUACAAACUGAAAUUUAACUUCCAUGCAGACCAAGUUAUAUUCACCAAUUCUACCCCAUACCUCCUACAGCCCCAAGGAAAUGUUCUCAAGUUCAAAGUAAAGCAAUUGUAUUUCCUACAUAAAUAGUGGUUUAACUCUUAUAUCAAGAAUGGCUACUAGCUGAUAGAACA